This 64-nucleotide transfer RNA is filed under the name marine eukaryotic metagenome. It matches the Rfam family "tRNA", at positions 5 to 66 of the family's 71-position model. Rfam says of the family: Transfer RNA (tRNA) molecules are approximately 80 nucleotides in length. Their secondary structure includes four short double-helical elements and three loops (D, anti-codon, and T loops). Further hydrogen bonds mediate the characteristic L-shaped molecular structure. tRNAs have two regions of fundamental functional importance: the anti-codon, which is responsible for specific mRNA codon recognition, and the 3' end, to which the tRNAs corresponding amino acid is attached (by aminoacyl-tRNA synthetases). tRNAs cope with the degeneracy of the genetic code in two manners: having more than one tRNA (with a specific anti-codon) for a particular amino acid; and 'wobble' base-pairing, i.e. permitting non-standard base-pairing at the 3rd anti-codon position. The record is from RNAcentral.
CUGUAGCUCAACUGGCAGAGCAACUGACUCUUAAUCAGUAGGUUCAAGGUUCGAGUCCUUGCGG